Molecule: transfer RNA, 74 nt
Filed under: Kiritimatiellia bacterium
Lineage: Bacteria; Pseudomonadati; Kiritimatiellota; Kiritimatiellia
Description: tRNA-Gly
Rfam family: tRNA
About the family: Transfer RNA (tRNA) molecules are approximately 80 nucleotides in length. Their secondary structure includes four short double-helical elements and three loops (D, anti-codon, and T loops).
Source: RNAcentral
GCGGGCGUAAUUCAGUGGCAGAAUAGGAGCUUCCCAAGCUUCACACGAGGGUUCGAUUCCCUUCGCCCGCUCCA